CUUUGCAGCCCAGGAGUAGAACAGCUCCAGUAACAUAUGGGUCUCUGGUGUUAGCUUCCAAGGGUCAUGUCCAUGUGUCUCACCCUUGACUCUAGACUGUACCUUGAGAAAGCACCUACAUGCAACUGCCUCAUGCCUGAUCCUUAAUGCCCCAAAUUUUCACUGAUUGUGGGAGGAGAUGCAGCAAGAGACACCUGCUGUGGAGGCCAAUGCCCGUUUGUCGUUAUCAUUAGAGAUCAUUAAGAAUGAAGGAGACCUACUUGAGAGACUUGGACCACAAAACAAAGAGAAAAAAAAAUGUAUAUCUGUGAACUGAGAAACCACAAUGGCUUUUGAGGAAACAUUAGUGCAAAACAACAAAGUUACUUUUGCUGCCACAAGGAACAUGCAGUGUCCCUGCAUGUGACCAGAAAGUUGAUGAUCUGGGGAAUUCUUGGAAAGAAUCCACGACUACAAAGCCUGAAUGAGUGAUGAAGAUGUAAAUGAUAUUGAGAGAUUGGAAUUUUGCAAGUCCACAGACAAAUUCCCUGGGAACAUUUUAAGGCCUCUUAGUAGCCAAUUUUGUCCUCCUCUG
Molecule: long non-coding RNA, 574 nt
Filed under: Cricetulus griseus (Chinese hamster)
Lineage: Eukaryota; Metazoa; Chordata; Mammalia; Rodentia; Cricetidae
Description: lncRNA (ENSCGRG00015034740.1)
Source: RNAcentral